RNAcentral lists this ribosomal RNA (497 nucleotides) under uncultured bacterium. RNAcentral describes it as "partial 16S ribosomal RNA". It matches the Rfam family "Bacterial small subunit ribosomal RNA", at positions 28 to 507 of the family's 1533-position model. The record is from RNAcentral.
GACGAACGCUGGCGGCGUGCCUAAUACAUGCAAGUAGAACGCUGAAGCGAGGAGCUUGCUCUUCUUGGAUGAGUUGCGAACGGGUGAGUAACGCGUAGGUAACCUGCCUUGUAGCGGGGGAUAACUAUUGGAAACGAUAGCUAAUACCGCAUAACAAUGGAUGACACAUGUCAUUUAUUUGAAAGGGGCAAUUGCUCCACUACAAGAUGGACCUGCGUUGUAUUAGCUAGUAGGUGAGGUAAUGGCUCACCUAGGCGACGAUACAUAGCCGACCUGAGAGGGGGAUCGGCCACACUGGGACUGAGACACGGCCCAGACUCCUACGGGAGGCAGCAGUAGGGAAUCUUCGGCAAUGGGGGCAACCCUGACCGAGCAACGCCGCGUGAGUGAAGAAGGUUUUCGGAUCGUAAAGCUCUGUUGUAAGUCAAGAACGGGUGUGAGAGUGGAAAGUUCACACUGUGACGGUAGCUUACCAGAAAGGGACGGCUAACUACGUG